Passer domesticus (house sparrow) is the source of this 6074-nucleotide long non-coding RNA. RefSeq lists it as uncharacterized. NCBI's taxonomy places the organism in Eukaryota, Metazoa, Chordata, Aves, Passeriformes, Passeridae. The transcript has 10 exons. The record is from RefSeq and is a predicted model, not a curated record.
UCUAGCAUUGGGGCAGUGGAGUAUUUAAGCACAUAGUUAAUUUAAACCAGGUGAUGAGGUUUAGGUGGUCAGAGGAAAUGGCUGCUGUGAAGAGACCCUGAAAAAUUGGUGCUUUCAGGUACUGCUCUGUAGAAUAGUAAUGUGUCAAAUUUGAAAAAAAAAAUCCUUUCCUGACCAUGUUCUUGGGAGAAAAAAGGAGAGAUUUAGAUACCGUUCCAGCAACAUUUGUGGAAAGCUCAUGAGAACUGGAAAAUACUUCAUUUGUAAGAGGAAAAUGGGGAGUCACAUCUAGCAAAUACACAGGUUUUUAGUAGGACUGAUAAGACGACACUAGUGCUUUCCAAGUUACAUGGAAGAAUUUUUCAGCCAAGGACACAACUGAAAGCUAAGGACCCAUGGCAGAAUUAUCUGAUUUUACUUGGCAUUUGUUUAACUGUUGUGUAUAUUGCUGAAGGCCAUUUGCUCUGACAAGAAAUGUCAAAUAAACCAGUAAUAAAUCAAAACAGGAGAUGGAAUACAGUUCUCUUCCCUUUUUUCGUGCUUUGGCAAGGAGCAACAUCCAUAUCAAGUUAGAAAAGAUGAAGAAAAAUGUAUCAACUGCUUAAAAAUCAUCAGCAUUUUUAAUCUGAUAACAAGAUCCUGGAUAGUUAAAAACCAGAGAGGAAGGAUUAAUACUGGUGGAACAGUUCAAACAAAGACAUCCUUCCCUGUUUCUGGCAACCAGACUAUCUUUAAAGCAGCACAUGGUAAUACUGCAAAAUCUGAAUGCUGGAUUCAGUGAGAAACAAGAAGCUUUUGAACAACAAAAGCCUGGAUCAAAUCUUGAGGUUUUGCUCUCAAACCUGGAUACCAGACUGCCUGCAGCAAUGGAAUUCCCUGCUUCCUAACCUGAGCAGGGGCAGAGGUUACUUUCCACCUUCCAUGUUUGAUCAGUGGCCUGGAUUCAGAGAGGGAAGAGCAGAAGAAUCUAAAAGCUGUCCCUAGCUAGCAACAAACCUUGAUGUAACAGCACAGGAGGAAAGCAAAUAGCUGGGACCUGUUCCUAAAGUGCUUAAGCAGUUUCUGUGCUCCCAGAAAAAUGCAGUUUUGCCUUGGGAGACUGAGGAGUCAGGAUCAAUUACGCCACAGCUCUGCUGAACUCUAGAUUUUAAGGUCAACAUCUGAAUUUCUCCUCCCAUGAUGAGCAACUUCCUCUCACCAAGCAUGGAAAGGCAUAUUCAGUAUGACUCUGGGCCAAAAAACAAAAUUAUUCAUGGCUAGCCUGAGUUAUGAAAGAUUUACUUCAAAGAACAAUUGAAAACUGCUGAUGGAAUUAUAAUGAAAAUAUUGAGAAUAUUUUUGAUGUAAGCAGAUGGUUGCAUGACUGUGGUCUAGAAACCGGAAUUGGCAUGAACAGUAUUUAUAUUUCCUCUUCAAGAAACAAAAAUGGCCCUUUGAUUAAAGCUCCAUGUUUGCUUUUCUUGAAAACCAAACUAAAUGCAGGUUGGUUCACUAAUGAAUUGUCCCAUGAUCCUCAGGAUUAUGAAGUUUGUCCCACAAAAACCAGCAAGUGUCCCCACAGGCAUUAUGUUCUUUUUCCAGCCUGCUGGCAGAGCCAGAGCUGGGCUGAGCUGCUGCUUAGCACCUUGCUAGAAAAAAAAGACUUCUCCAGUCAGUGAUGCUGUGUGGUGUCCACUAACAGGGUGUUCAAACCAGAACCUGAUCCUGAAGGUGGAAGCACUAGUCGUGUAAGAAACUGCUGGUUGAUCUCAUAAAGUGGAUUUAUCUCCUCUCUGAUCCUGCACUUUUCCAUGUGCUACUGUAUUAAUUCAUUCCUACCUCGAGCCUGGCCUGCAUUUCCAUGCUGCUGUUGCAACAUGCCACUUUCUGAGGUUCAGUGUAUUUCAGGAUUUCUUGGAGAAAUCCACUGGUGAGUUCAGUUCUGGUUUUGAAAUCAGAAGGCCCUGAGAUUCAGACAGUGCUAAGCUUAUUUUAGCAUGCUAUGCAAAAGGGACUUCUAUAGCUCAACCUUUGGUUUAGAAAUAUAUUUAGAAAUAAUUCAAGCAGGGCUAUGCAUUCCCAUAUAUUUACCAGAGCCUGAGUGUCUAAUGCCAAAUAUGAACCUCAAACAUUAAGAAAAUAAAAUUUACUUCUAACAAUUUUACCAAAAAUUUUUAUUCUCGUUUCAAAUCAAACAAUAUUUGCUGGGUUUGCACAUCUAUUCUUUGAGUCAGGUGAUUUUUGGUUUUUUUUUACAUUCCUUACUUUUCAUUUAAAAUGCAAAUGAAAUUUUGUUCUCACAGUUACUGAGGAAACAUCACAGCAGUAUUUUCCAAAUGAUGCAACCCAAAUAAAUAAAGCUCAAACCAGAAUGAACCCAAAGGUUCAGAAGCCCUCAUAAUACUAACAAAAAAAAAAUCAGAUAGGAUCAAUCUUAAAAGUAAUUGUUUAAAGCUCUCCAUUUGUUUUAGAAGACAUCACACCAGAAAAGAUUCCUGAGAGACUGAAAUUAAUCUUUUUACUUUUUACUCAACUAGAUCUUGCUGCCUAGGAGAUGCACAACUGGCAUAUGAAAUAGCACAGUGUACCUGAGCUGUAUUUAAAAAUAGAAACCCUAUGAAACAGAGAGGUAAAAGCUUGAAUUAGCAUGAUUAACUCUAUAUCAAUUUUAUUUAUGAUGAAUAAUUCAGAGUAUGCCAAGUCCCUCAUCAGGUUGCCUACCAUAAUCCAUGGGAUUAAACAUGGGUCAGAGAACAAGCAAAAAGUUACAAUACCUUCUUGAAAAUGUCACAUUGUUUUGAGACCAUCUAAUCAAAAAUCAUCCAAAAAUGUAGUGUAGUACCAAACCAAAGUGUUGCCCUGCCAGAAAUGGGAAUCCUGCUGCAUUUCACAUUCUCCCCUCAUGUCAGCAUGGAAAGGUUGCACUGCUGAUGCCUAUAUCCUGCAGUCCUCUCUUCUCCCUGGAGCCUCUCUUCACUGGUGCUGUCUGCCUGAACUGAUCUGUGUUUCUAAAUCCCAGCCAGCACAGUGAUCACGCUCUUCAGCUGUUUAACACAGGGGCAGUAACCACGGUGUAAGUCCUGCUUUGAUGGCCUCUGAGCACUGGGUGUCCUGCUGUGUGUGUUUUCUCCUUCAAGUACCCACAUCAGGCUAAUUACUUACCCAGUGAGCUGUGCUGUCCCUAAUGCUCUGCAGAAUGAGUAGAGCAGCAUCCCCAACCAUUCACUUCUCUUAAAAAUUGAUGGACAAGGCAUUUUCCUCUUGUGAUGUUUUGUACUCUUGCUAGAGCAAGGAACUUCCUCUGAAAUGGGAAUCUCUACCCAGAAGGUUAAUGGUUUCCAACUUGGCAAUUCCCUAUGAAAAAUGCUCACUGCUCUCAACAAAUUUUAAUUCUAACAAUGUAUAAAGAGUGCUUUAAACAGAGAAAGUCAGUAAAACCCUACUCAAGGUGUCAUUUGGACAUUUCAAAAGCCAAAUAAAUAGUGAGACGAUUGGUAGUGAUGUGUUGGUGUAUGUCAGUGCUUAGCUAUAUGCAAUGAAUUAACUCCUUAAUUUGACUAAUUUAAAAUUCAUUAUGUGCACUCAGCUUUCUUAUUUUUUCAAGAGGAAGCCAUGAAUGAAUGCAAAAACUUCAUUCACUUUAACACAUUAAAAAUAUAAAUUACUGAAGUUAGUACUAUUCAUAGAACACCAUUUCUAUUCCUUGUAUACAGAAAUAUAAAAAUGACAAUAAUGUCUGAGCAACUUUCCACUGUGCAUGGUGAUGUUUUUAUUCCCUUUAAAGAGGUAAAGAUGGGGAGGGAAAGAGUUGGUAGAAUUAUUAGUAUAGCUAUACUUGUCUCUGUGAAUGUUUUUGAGAGAACAAUUUGUCAUAUCUGAUGGAAUCAUUAUUGACAUUUGCAAGGACUCUGGUGCAGCCUUUCACCUUUUUAUCUGAAAGAAAGUUCUGUCUUCUGUAGACAUUUAUGUCCCCUUCAUUCUGGAACUAUGGGAGCUCUCCCUUCACUCUGAGGAGGCAAAAACCUCAUGAAAGCCAGGCUUUGCUUCCAAACAGUUUUCAGUAUAGAGCAUUAGAAUUUCCAUUAUCUUGGAGUCAUCUCCAGGCACUGGCCAUGACAACAGGUGGAACAGAAAAAAAGCUACUCCUGGACCCUAAGAAUGAUUUUUGUAUUAUUUAGCUCUAUAGAUGCUAUUCACAACAAGAGGGAAUAUCUUUGCCAAGGUUAAAUAUUCUGAGAACAGAGAAAUUACUUUUAUAAAUACUGCAACAGGCCUAAGGGACUUUUUUUUUUCCUUACACAACAUUAAUUUUAAAAGUAAUCAAAUCUCCUAGGAGUGCAAUGCCACGUGAAGUGACUUAAAGUGUGUCAGAAGAUGAACAGAAAAGUUAACAUUGCCAUUUCAUCUCUGCCAUUGUUUCUGUUAUGCCCAAACUUCACAGCACACAAUAAUGCAUGGAAGAGAUCUGGCUGGCUGACGUCUGUCCAUCCUGAGGCACAAUGAAAGGAAUCAAGAAUAGAGCAGCUGCUUGAGUUCUGAACCAUCUUGUUUUUAUAGGCUCUUACAUAAGCCUUUUUUCCUUCUGACUCUGUAUUUACCAAGUCAAGGGUCUCUCUCAUUGUUCCAUUAGCACAGUACCUGAAUUUACAACAAAACAAGGAAAUAUGGCAAUAAAUCUUAUUAGCUGUUCUUGUACAUGGAACACAGUCCCAAUGGCUCUCCUGAGUGAGCUGCAUCCCUCUCGAGCAGAUAUCAAAGAGAAUAAGAUUAUGUGCAACAAAAGAGAACAACAAACUUUUUUUUCAAAAUGGUGAUAUCUAAACUGCACAGCACGAAUGCCAUUCUUUGUGAAAGAGAGGUUUUUCAAAUGAUCUGUGUAUAGAACCACUGAUAGGAUAUGUGAGAAGAGGGGACAAAGUGUUCCUGCUCUCAUUCCUAUCUCUGUCCCCACCUUCCUGGCAGGAGCCUGAGUGGGCCAAGGCUGCAGGGGCUGCUCCACUGUUUUCAGACCCCACAGCUGAUGAACUUCAAAUGUUAGUCUGACUUCAGUGCAACUCAUUUAAAGGAUCAAUGUUCCCACAGUGCAGUCUGAAGAGAGAAUCUGCAGUCUUUUAAAAGCAUGUUUCUUGCCUUGCUGUGGAUGAGGUACCUGGCUCGUUUGUUCUUAAUAAGUUGCAGCUCUGAAUAUUUCUGACAACAUUGAGAUUGCCUCUGCUGCUUUGUGUACCUGCUGGAUCUGUGACAUGUCUUUGAGCAAGCCUGUCUGCUGGCCACAUUUUAACUUAUAGUUAGGCUGACAUUAUUUAUAGCCCAUUCAAGACAUACAGGUAGGUUUUCAGGUUCUUCUGUUCACCAAGUGAACAUUCAUUGGGACUGAAACCUCCUGAGCUUCUCCUGGCUCUUAAGAGGUUCAGCACUGGGCCAGCAUGAGCUUCCUCAGCACUGUCAGGAAUGAAAUGUUUCUUGGCAUGUGCAGGAGCUGAAUGCUGGGCACCUGGAAAACUUUAAAAUUGAAAUAGGUACCUACUUAAGUUUAAGAGCCUUCUGAGCUGGGCAGCAGCUGAGAAGUUUUUAGUAUCACUGUUUGUAAUUGCAGCUGACUUCUUCCUGCUUUGGAUACCUCAAUACCUUUUUGGGAUCUGGCCCUAAGGAUUUUUUUUUUUAACUUAUGCAUUAAAUAAUAAAGGGCAGGCAAUUAAGAAGUCUUGCUUAACUGGCUCAGCCUCUUGAAGAGAGCUACAAAUCAGCCUUGUUUCCUUCUCCUGAGAAUCAUUAGAUCAUUUCUUACAAGGGCACAGGGAGCCUCUGCAGUGUUUCAUGGCAGAAAGUGCACAGGGCUGCUCUGUGGAGUGCUCUGUGCUGUUGUUUACAAACCAAGUGUGCCACACUGAGCAUCCCAGCUGGAUAUUUAGUUUGAAAAGUGAUAUGUCAGUCGCUAUUUAAUUAGGACCCUGCAGCCCACCUUUCUCAGAUGCAGCAGCUUAUUAAAGCGUUCCCUGAUUGGGAAUAUGCAGAUGUCAUUGGUGGAAGAAAUAGCCGCCUUUAGUUAGAGUGAAAGGACUUUGCCACCUCUAGCCUGGACUUACAGAAACACA